RNAcentral lists this ribosomal RNA (477 nucleotides) under uncultured bacterium. Its description in RNAcentral is "bacterial SSU rRNA". It matches the Rfam family "Bacterial small subunit ribosomal RNA", at positions 501 to 981 of the family's 1533-position model. The record is from RNAcentral.
CUACGUGCCAGCAGCCGCGGUAAUACGGAAGGUCCAGGCGUUAUCCGGAUUUAUUGGGUUUAAAGGGAGCGUAGGCCGGAGAUUAAGUGUGUUGUGAAAUGUAGACGCUCAACGUCUGACUUGCAGCGCAUACUGGUUUCCUUGAGUACGCACAACGUUGGCGGAAUUCGUCGUGUAGCGGUGAAAUGCUUAGAUAUGACGAAGAACUCCGAUUGCGAAGGCAGCUGACGGGAGCGCAACUGACGCUUAAGCUCGAAGGUGCGGGUAUCGAACAGGAUUAGAUACCCUGGUAGUCCGCACAGUAAACGAUGGAUGCCCGCUGUUGGUACCUGGUAUCAGCGGCUAAGCGAAAGCAUUAAGCAUCCCACCUGGGGAGUACGCCGGCAACGGUGAAACUCAAAGGAAUUGACGGGGGCCCGCACAAGCGGAGGAACAUGUGGUUUAAUUCGAUGAUACGCGAGGAACCUUACCCGGGCU